AGAGUUUGAUCAUGGCUCAGAACGAACGCUGGCGGCGUGCCUAACACAUGCAAGUCGAACGAGAAAGGGCUUCGGCCCGAGUACAGUGGCGGACGGGUGAGUAACGCGUGGGUAAUCUGCCCUUGGGCGGGGGAUAACCUUCCGAAAGGAGGGCUAAUACCGCAUAAGACCACGCCCCUUCGGGGGAGUGGCCAAAGAUGGCGGAUCUUCGGACCUGUCACCUGAGGAUGAGCCCGCGUACCAUUAGGUAGUUGGUGGGGUAACGGCCUACCAAGCCUGAGAUGGUUAGCUGGUCUGAGAGGAUGAUCAGCCACACUGGGACUGAGACACGGCCCAGACUCCUACGGGAGGCAGCAGUGGGGAAUAUUGCGCAAUGGGGGCAACCCUUGACGCAGCAACGCCGCGUGUGUGAAGAAGGCCCUCGGGUCGUAAAGCACUGUCGAGUAGAACGAGCCGGCAGAGGUUAAUAGCCUCUGCCCCGACGGUACUACUUGAGGAAGCACCGGCUAACUCCGUGCCAGCAGCCGCGGUAAUACGGAGGGUGCGAGCGUUGUUCGGAAUUAUUGGGCGUAAAGCGCGCGCAGGCGGGACGUUAAGUCCGAUGUGAAAUCCCUCGGCUCAACCGAGGACGGGCAUUGGAUACUGGCGUUCUUGAAUCCUGGAGAGGGUGGCGGAAUUCCCAGUGUAGAGGUGAAAUUCGUAGAUAUUGGGAGGAACACCAGCGGCGAAGGCGGCCACCUGGACAGUGAUUGACGCUGAGGCGCGAAAGCAUGGGUAGCAAACAGGAUUAGAUACCCUGGUAGUCCAUGCCGUAAACGAUGGGUACUAGUUGGUGCGGGUAUUGACCCCUGCGCUGACGCAGCUAACGCAUUAAGUACCCCGCCUGGGGAGUACGGCCGCAAGGCUAAACUCAAAGGAAUUGACGGGGGCCCGCACAAGCGGUGGAGCAUGUGGAU
Molecule: ribosomal RNA, 956 nt
Filed under: uncultured bacterium
Lineage: Bacteria
Description: bacterial SSU rRNA
Rfam family: Bacterial small subunit ribosomal RNA
Source: RNAcentral